Molecule: ribosomal RNA, 403 nt
Filed under: Verrucomicrobiota bacterium
Lineage: Bacteria; Pseudomonadati; Verrucomicrobiota
Description: Verrucomicrobia bacterium partial 16S ribosomal RNA
Rfam family: Bacterial small subunit ribosomal RNA
Source: RNAcentral
UGGGGAAUAUUGCACAAUGGGGGAAACCCUGAUGCAGCGACGCCGCGUGAGCGAUGAAGGCUUUCGAGUCGUAAAGCUCUGUCCUAUGGGAAGAUAAUGACGGUACCAUAGAAGAAAGCCCCGGCUAAUUACGUGCCAGCAGCCGCGGUAAUACGUAGGUGGCAAGCGUUGUCCGGAAUUAUUGGGCGUAAAGAGCGCGUAGGCGGUCGUGCAAGUCAAUCUUAAAAGUGCGGGGCUUAACCCCGUGAUGGGAUUGAAACUGUGCGACUGGAGUAUCGGAGAGGAAAGUAGAAUUCCUAGUGUAGCGGUGGAAUGCGUAGAGAUUAGGAAGAAUACCGGUGGCGAAGGCGACUUUCUGGACGAAAACUGACGCUGAGGCGCGAAAGCGUGGGGAGCAAACAGG